RNAcentral lists this non-coding RNA (24 nucleotides) under Arabidopsis thaliana (thale cress). Lineage: Eukaryota; Viridiplantae; Streptophyta; Magnoliopsida; Brassicales; Brassicaceae. The record is from RNAcentral.
AACAGUUAUAAAAACUCCGGUGGU